AUGCGCUUGCUGCUUCGCCGCCACGGCGGCCGGGCCAACGCGCUUGAUGAUCUGGUCACGCCGCUGGCCCACAAGGCCACCGAUAUGCGCACUAGAGGAAACCAACGGCUCAGGCCGGGCGGGUCCCGCGCAGUUUUCCCGCUGAUCCGGCAAUCCUUCGGCGGGGCGACGUGGAUAGCGUGAUAUCUCG
This 190-nucleotide non-coding RNA is filed under the name Achromobacter xylosoxidans NH44784-1996. Its description in RNAcentral is "RT-15 RNA". It matches the Rfam family "RT-15 RNA". Rfam says of the family: Proteobacteria. The record is from Rfam by way of RNAcentral. Lineage: Bacteria; Pseudomonadati; Pseudomonadota; Betaproteobacteria; Burkholderiales; Alcaligenaceae.